This 496-nucleotide ribosomal RNA is filed under the name uncultured bacterium. RNAcentral's name for it is "bacterial SSU rRNA". It matches the Rfam family "Bacterial small subunit ribosomal RNA", at positions 30 to 518 of the family's 1533-position model. The record is from RNAcentral.
AUUGAACGCUGGCGGCAUGCCUUACACAUGCAAGUCGAACGGCAGCACGGGAGCAAUCCUGGUGGCGAGUGGCGAACGGGUGAGUAAUAUAUCGGAACGUGCCCAGUAGUGGGGGAUAGCCCGGCGAAAGCCGGAUUAAUACCGCAUACGACCUGAGGGUGAAAGCGGGGGAUCGCAAGACCUCGCGCUAUUGGAGCGGCCGAUAUCAGAUUAGCUAGUUGGUGGGGUAAAGGCCUACCAAGGCUACGAUCUGUAGUUGGUCUGAGAGGACGACCAGCCACACUGGGACUGAGACACGGCCCAGACUCCUACGGGAGGCAGCAGUGGGGAAUUUUGGACAAUGGGCGCAAGCCUGAUCCAGCAAUGCCGCGUGCAGGAAGAAGGCCUUCGGUUGUAAACUGCUUUGUCUAGGAAGAAAUACUUCUGGGCUAAUACCCGGGACGGAGUGACGGUACCUGAAGAAUAAGCACCGGCUAACUACGUGCCAGCAGCCGAC